CGUAGGCGGCUUAAUAAGUCAGUGGUGAAAUCCCUACGCUUAACGUAGGAACGGCCAUUGAUACUGUUAGGCUUGAAUUAUUAGGAAGUAACUAGAAUAUGUAGUGUAGCGGUGAAACGCUUAGAGAUUACAUGGAAUACCAAUUGCGAAGGCAGGUUACUACUAAUUGAUUGACGCUGAUGGACGAAAGCGUGGGUAGCGAACAGGAUUAGAUACCCUGGUAGUCCACGCCGUAAACGAUGGAUACUAGCUGUUGGGAGCAAUCUCAGUGGCUAAGCGAAAGUGAUAAGUAUCCCACCUGGGGAGUACGUUCGCAAGAAUGAAACUCAAAGGAAUUGACGGGGGCCCGCACAAGCGGUGGAGCAUGUGGUUUAAUUCGAUGAUACGCGAGGAACCUUACCAAGGCUUAAAUGUAGAUUGACCGAUUUGGAAACAGAUUUUUCGCAAGACAAUUUACAAGGUGCUGCAUGGUUGUCGUCAGCUCGUGCCGUGAGGUGUCAGGUUAAGUCCUAUAACGAGCGCAACCCCUGUUGUUAGUUGCCAGCGAGUCAAGUCGGGAACUCUAACAAGACUGCCAGUGCAAACUGUGAGGAAGGUGGGGAUGACGUCAAAUCAUCACGGCCCUUACGCCUUGGGCUACACACGUGCUACAAUGGACGGUACAGAGA
This 668-nucleotide ribosomal RNA is filed under the name uncultured bacterium. RNAcentral describes it as "bacterial SSU rRNA". It matches the Rfam family "Bacterial small subunit ribosomal RNA", at positions 570 to 1245 of the family's 1533-position model. The record is from RNAcentral.